AACUCUCAUUAGAAUGCUUAAAGCUACUGAUGCUUAAAACCAUAUUUUUAGACCAAUGACACUAUUGUCAUUUUUACUUUUUAAUCAUAUAGGAGAAGUGAUAGUUCAAAUAGAAAAUCUUCGCCUGAAUUUUAUUCAAAAAUCUUCAUCCGAGUUCAAUAGAAAUCUACCGUUAGGCUGCCAUGCUUAAACACAUACUUCACCUUGUGAGCAAAAUCUUGAAUCUCCGGUAAUCUUUCCACCGCCAGGCUACAAGCAUUCACAGCUUGGUCCAACCCAAUGGACAUGUCGGUUCGGGAUUUCCUACUGGGCUGGCUCGAUUAAUUGGGAAAAUUGUUAAUUAUGGUAAUCAGGCUUGACGUACUGAUUAUUUCCAACAAAUACAUGUGUUGUAGCUUAUUUACUAUUGAAAGGAAAAUGUACAAUUUUCAAAAUUACGUGAUUAUAUUGAGACGUAGCUUCCACAGU
RNAcentral lists this long non-coding RNA (468 nucleotides) under Ricinus communis (castor bean). Its description in RNAcentral is "long non-coding RNA (RCOM_LNC001686)". The record is from RNAcentral. Lineage: Eukaryota; Viridiplantae; Streptophyta; Magnoliopsida; Malpighiales; Euphorbiaceae.